GUGACACCAGAGUAGUGCCGGACACGUGGAAUCCGGCAUGAAGCCGGGGGGCCCACCCCCCAAGCCUAAAUACUAACCAGUGACCGAUAGCGAAGUAGUACCGUGAGGGAAAGGUGAAAAGAACCCCGGGAGGGGAGUGAAAUAGAACCUGAAACCUUAUGCUUACAAUCGGAGGGAGCGCAAGUGACCUCAUACUUUUUGUAGAACGGGCCAACGAGUUAUGGUAUGUAGCAAGGUUAAAGUGCUGGAGCACCGAAGCCGCAGGGAAACCGAGUCUUAAUAGGGCGAGAAGUUACAUGCUGUAGACCCGAAACCGGGUGACCUAUCCAUGUGCAGGUUGAAGUAACUGUAAAAGGUUAUGGAGGACCGAACUCAUGUCUGUUAAAAAAGGCUGGGAUGACGUGUGGAUAGCGGUGAAAUUCCAAUCGAACUCGGAGAUAGCUGGUUCUCCUCGAAAUAGCUUUAGGGCUAGCCUCAAGGAAAGAUACGCGGGGGUAAAGCACUGAAUGUUCAAGGGGCCUUCACCGGUUACCAAAAACUAUCAAACUCAGAAUACCGCAGUAUUAUACUUGGGAGUCAGGCUAUGUGAGAUAAGUUUCAUAGUCGAGAGGGAAACAACCCAGACCAACAGCUAGCUCACUAGUCGAGUGACCCUGCGCCGAAGAUAAACGGGGCUAAAACUUACUACCGAAGCUUUGGAACAGAAAUGUUGGUAGAGGAGCAUUGUAUACAGGCAGAAGGUAAAUUGUGAAGUUUGCUGGACAGUAUACAAGAGAGAAUGUUGGCAUGAGUAGCGAGAGGCAGGUGAGAAUCCUGCCCGCCGAAAAUCUAAGGUUUCCUGAGGAAGGUUCGUCCACUCAGGGUUAGUCGGGGCCUAAGCCCAGAGCGAGAGCUGUAGGCGAUGGACAACAGGUAGAAAUUCCUGUACCACCGAGGAUUGAAUGAGUGAAGUGGGGACACAGAAGGAUAGGUUGAGCACGCCGUUGGUAGAGCGUGUCCAAGCGUUAAGGGAGUAUAAGUAGGCAAAUCCGCAUAUACAAUUCUGAGGCGUUAUGGGGUGGCGAAAGAGCCUGAAGCGACUGAUUUCAUGCUGUCAAGAAAAUCCGCUAGCAAGAUCCAAGGUGCCCGUACCGCAAACCGACACAGGUAGAUGAGGAGAGAAUCCUAAGGCGAGCGAGAGAACUAUUGUUAAGGAACUCGGCAAAAUUACCCCGUAACUUCGGGAGAAGGGGUGCCACAGAAAUGUGGCCGCAGUGAAUAGGCCCAGGCAACUGUUUACCAAAAACACAGGUCUCUGCAAAAGCGAAAGCUGAAGUAUAGGGGCUGACGCCUGCCCGGUGCUGGAAGGUUAAGGGGAAGUGUUAGGGUAACCGAAGCACAGAACUUAAGCCCCAGUAAACGGCGGCCGUAACUAUAACGGUCCUAAGGUAGCGAAAUUCCUUGUCGGGUAAGUUCCGACCCGCACGAAAGGCGUAAUGAAUGUUGCAUGUACAGGAUAGGUGGGAGACAGUGAGUACAGUACGCCAGUAUUGUAGGAGUCAUCGUUGGGAUACCACCCUUGUAAUAUUGAAGUUCUAACCAUGUAGCGUUAGCCGGUACUGGGACAUUGUCAGGUGGGCAGUUUGACUGGGGCGGUCGCCUCCUAAAGAGUAACGGAGGCGCCCAAAGGUUCCCUCAGCGCGGACGGAAAUCGCGCGAAGAGUGCAAAGGCAGAAGGGAGCUUGACUGCGAGACAAACAGGUCGAGCAGGUACGAAAGUAGGGCUUAGUGAUCCGGUGGUUCCGAGUGGAAGGGCCAUCGCUCAACGGAUAAAAGCUACCCCGGGGAUAACAGGCUGAUACCCCCCAAGAGUUCACAUCGACGGGGGUGUUUGGCACCUCGAUGUCGGCUCGUCUCAUCCUGGGGCUGAAGUAGGUCCCAAGGGUUGGGCUGUUCGCCCAUUAAAGAGGUACGCGAGCUGGGUU
RNAcentral lists this ribosomal RNA (1964 nucleotides) under human gut metagenome. RNAcentral's name for it is "bacterial LSU rRNA". It matches the Rfam family "Bacterial large subunit ribosomal RNA", at positions 401 to 2611 of the family's 2925-position model. The record is from RNAcentral.